CCUACGGGUGGCUGCAGUAAGGAAUAUUGGUCAAUGGACGCAAGUCUGAACCAGCCAUGCCGCGUGGAGGAUGAAGGUCCUCUGGAUUGUAAACUUCUUUUAUUUGGGAAGAAACUCCCGAUUUCCAUCGGGAUUGACGGUACCAGAUGAAUAAGCACCGGCUAACUCCGUGCCAGCAGCCGCGGUAAUCCGGAGGGUGCAAGCGUCACCCGGAUUAACUGGGGCGUAGGGGUGCAUAUAUGUGCAGGUAGAAAUGUCCGGGCUUAACCCGGAAACUGCCAUUGAUACUAUUUGUCUUGAAUACUCUGGAGGUGAGCGGAAUAUGUCAUGUAGCGGUGAAAUGCUUAGAUAUGACAUAGAACACCCAUUGCGAAGGCAGCUCACUACGGAAAUAUUGACGCUGAGGCACGAAAGCGUGGGGAUCAAACAGGAUUAGAUACCCCUGUAGUC
RNAcentral lists this ribosomal RNA (450 nucleotides) under uncultured bacterium. RNAcentral describes it as "partial 16S ribosomal RNA". It matches the Rfam family "Bacterial small subunit ribosomal RNA", at positions 338 to 795 of the family's 1533-position model. The record is from RNAcentral.